RNAcentral lists this ribosomal RNA (250 nucleotides) under uncultured bacterium. Its description in RNAcentral is "partial 16S ribosomal RNA". It matches the Rfam family "Archaeal small subunit ribosomal RNA", at positions 474 to 723 of the family's 1478-position model. The record is from RNAcentral.
CACCGGCGGCUCGAGUGGUAACCGCUAUUAUUGGGUCUAAAGGGUCUGUAGCCGGCCUGGUUAGUCCCUUGGGAAAUCUGGCUGCUCAACAGUCAGGCUUUCAGGGGAUACUGCUAGGCUCGAGACCGGGAGAGGUGAGAGGUACUUCAGGGGUAGGGGUGAAAUCUUGUAAUCCUUGAAGGACCACCAGUGGCGAAGGCGUCUCACCAGAACGGAUCUGACGGCAAGGGACGAAAGCUAGGGGCACGAA